CAGCAGUGGGGAAUUUUGGACAAUGGGCGCAAGCCUGAUCCAGCCAUGCCGCGUGCAGGAUGAAGGCCUUCGGGUUGUAAACUGCUUUUGUCCGGAACGAAAAGACUCCUUCUAAUAUAGGGGGUCCAUGACGGUACCGUAAGAAUAAGCACCGGCUAACUACGUGCCAGCAGCCGCGGUAAUACGUAGGGUGCGAGCGUUAAUCGGAAUUACUGGGCGUAAAGCGUGCGCAGGCGGUUUUGUAAGUCAGAUGUGAAAUCCCCGGGCUCAACCUGGGAAUUGCAUUUGUGACUGCAUAGCUAGAGUAUGGCAGAGGGGGAUGGAAUUCCGCGUGUAGCAGUGAAAUGCGUAGAUAUGCGGAGGAACACCGAUGGCGAAGGCAAUCCCCUGGGCCUGUACUGACGCUCAUGCACGAAAGCGUGGGGAGCAAACAGGAUUAGAUACCCUGGUAGUCCACGCCCUAAACGAUGUCAACUGGUUGUUGGGUCUUCACUGACUCAGUAACGCAGCUAACGCG
RNAcentral lists this ribosomal RNA (517 nucleotides) under uncultured bacterium. RNAcentral's name for it is "bacterial SSU rRNA". It matches the Rfam family "Bacterial small subunit ribosomal RNA", at positions 349 to 859 of the family's 1533-position model. The record is from RNAcentral.